AACGAACGCUGGCGGCAUGCCUAACACAUGCAAGUCGAACGAGACCUUCGGGUCUAGUGGCGCACGGGUGCGUAACGCGUGGGAACCUGCACUUAGGUUCGGAAUAACUCCCCGAAAGGGGUGCUAAUACCGGAUAAUGUCUUCGGACCAAAGAUUUAUCGCCUUUGGAUGGGCCCGCGUUGGAUUAGCUAGUUGGUAGGGUAAAAGCCUACCAAGGCGACGAUCCAUAGCUGGUCUGAGAGGAUGAUCAGCCACACUGGGACUGAGACACGGCCCAGACUCCUACGGGAGGCAGCAGUGGGGAAUAGUGGACAAUGGGCGAAAGCCUGAUCCAGCAAUGCCGGGUGAGUGAUGAAGGCCUUAGGGUUGUAAAGCUCUUUUACCCGGGAUGAUAAUGACAGUACCGGGAGAAUAAGCUCCGGCUAACUCCGUG
RNAcentral lists this ribosomal RNA (433 nucleotides) under uncultured bacterium. RNAcentral describes it as "partial 16S ribosomal RNA". It matches the Rfam family "Bacterial small subunit ribosomal RNA", at positions 29 to 507 of the family's 1533-position model. The record is from RNAcentral.